This 498-nucleotide ribosomal RNA is filed under the name uncultured bacterium. Its description in RNAcentral is "partial 16S ribosomal RNA". It matches the Rfam family "Bacterial small subunit ribosomal RNA", at positions 28 to 507 of the family's 1533-position model. The record is from RNAcentral.
GACGAACGCUGGCGGCGUGCCUAAUACAUGCAAGUCGAGCGGACGGAUGGGAGCUUGCUCCCAGACCGUCAGCGGCGGACGGGUGAGUAACACGUGGGCAACCUGCCUGUAAGACUGGGAUAACUCCGGGAAACCGGGGCUAAUACCGGAUAACUCUUUCCCUCACAUGAGGGAAAGCUGAAAGAUGGCAUCUCGCUAUCACUUACAGAUGGGCCCGCGGCGCAUUAGCUAGUUGGUGAGGUAACGGCUCACCAAGGCGACGAUGCGUAGCCGACCUGAGAGGGUGAUCGGCCACACUGCGACUGAGACACGGCCCAGACUCCUACGGGAGGCAGCAGUAGGGAAUCUUCCGCAAUGGACGAAAGUCUGACGGAGCAACGCCGCGUGAGUGAUGAAGGUUUUCGGAUCGUAAAACUCUGUUGUCAGGGAAGAACAAGUACCGGAGUAACUGCCGGUACCUUGACGGUACCUGACCAGAAAGCCACGGCUAACUACGUG